UGGGGAAUUUUGGACAAUGGGCGAAAGCCUGAUCCAGCCAUGCCGCGUGAGUGAAGAAGGCCUUCGGGUUGUAAAGCUCUUUUAGUCGGAAAGAAAGAGUCAUAGUAAAUAUCUAUGAGUUAUGACGGUUCCGACAGAAAAAGC
Molecule: ribosomal RNA, 144 nt
Filed under: uncultured bacterium
Lineage: Bacteria
Description: partial 16S ribosomal RNA
Rfam family: Bacterial small subunit ribosomal RNA
Source: RNAcentral